CCUACGGGGGGCAGCAGUGAGGAAUAUUGGUCAAUGGGCGCGAGCCUGAACCAGCCAAGUCGCGUGAGGGAAGACGGUCCUAUGGAUUGUAAACCUCUUUUGUCGGGGAGCAAACUACGCCACGCGUGGCGUUCCGCGCGUACCCGACGAACACGCAUCGGCUAACUCCGUGCCAGCAGCCGCGGUAAUACGGGGGAUGCGAGCGUUAUCCGGAUGUAUGGGGGUAAAAGGGUGCGCAGGCGGAAGAUCAAGUCAGCGGUAAAAGUGAGAGGCUCAACCUCUUCGAGCCGUUGAAACUGGUGGUCUGGAGUGAGUGAGAAGUAGGCGGAAUGCGUGGUGUAGCGGUGAAAUGCAUAGAUAUCACGCAGAACUCCGAUUGCGAAGGCAGCAUACCGGCGCUCAACUGACGCUCAUGCACGAAAGUGUGGGUAGCGAACAGGAUUAGAUACCCUGGUAGUC
RNAcentral lists this ribosomal RNA (459 nucleotides) under uncultured bacterium. Its description in RNAcentral is "partial 16S ribosomal RNA". It matches the Rfam family "Bacterial small subunit ribosomal RNA", at positions 338 to 795 of the family's 1533-position model. The record is from RNAcentral.